GAUUGAACUUAAGAGUUUGAUCCUGGCUCAGAUUGAACGCUGGCGGCAUGCUUUACACAUGCAAGUCGAACGGCAGCGGGGGCUUCGGCCUGCCGGCGAGUGGCGAACGGGUGAGUAAUGCAUCGGAACGUGCCCAUGUCGUGGGGGAUAACGUAGCGAAAGCUACGCUAAUACCGCAUACGCCC
RNAcentral lists this ribosomal RNA (185 nucleotides) under Thauera aminoaromatica. RNAcentral describes it as "partial 16S ribosomal RNA". It matches the Rfam family "Bacterial small subunit ribosomal RNA", at positions 1 to 180 of the family's 1533-position model. Lineage: Bacteria; Pseudomonadati; Pseudomonadota; Betaproteobacteria; Rhodocyclales; Zoogloeaceae. The record is from RNAcentral.